GAUGAAGAACGCAGCGAAAUGCGAUAAGUAAUGUGAAUUGCAGAAUUCGGUGAAUCAUCGAAUCUUUGAACGCACAUUGCGCCCGCCAGUAUUCUGGCGGGCAUGCCUGUCUGAGCGUCAUUUCAACCCUCAUGCCCCUAGGGCGUGGUGUUGGGGAUCGGCCAAAGCCCGCGAGGGACGGCCGGCCCCUAAAUCUAGUGGCGGACCCGUCGUGGCCUCCUCUGCGAAGUAGUGAUAUUCCGCAUCGGAGAGCGACGAGCCCCUGCCGUUAAACCCCCAACUUUCCAAGGUUGACCUCAGAUCAGGUAGGAAUACCCGCUGAACUUAAGCAUAUCAAUAAGCGGAGGA
This 348-nucleotide unclassified non-coding RNA is filed under the name soil metagenome. RNAcentral describes it as "partial contains 5.8S ribosomal RNA, internal transcribed spacer 2, and large subunit ribosomal RNA". The stretch from base 1 to 120 matches the Rfam family "5.8S ribosomal RNA", at positions 35 to 154 of the family's 154-position model. The record is from RNAcentral.